This 225-nucleotide ribosomal RNA is filed under the name uncultured bacterium. Its description in RNAcentral is "partial 16S ribosomal RNA". It matches the Rfam family "Bacterial small subunit ribosomal RNA", at positions 116 to 334 of the family's 1533-position model. The record is from RNAcentral.
CGUAAAGAACCUGCCUCAUAGACUGGGACAACUAUUGGAAACGGAUAGCUAAUACCGGAUAACAGUAUUUCUCGCAUGAGAGAUAUUUAAAAGUUGGUUAUGCUAACACUAUGAGAUGGCUUUGCGGUGCAUUAGCUAGUUGGUGGGGUAAAGGCCCACCAAGGCGACGAUGCAUAGCCGACCUGAGAGGGUGAUCGGCCACACUGGGACUGAGACACGGCCCAG